This 380-nucleotide unclassified non-coding RNA is filed under the name uncultured bacterium. Its description in RNAcentral is "contains 16S-23S intergenic spacer region". The record is from RNAcentral.
UCCAGCUUAUCACCGGCAGUCUCCUUAGAGUUCCCAGCAUUACCUGAUGGCAACUAAGGACGAGGGUUGCGCUCGUUGCGGGACUUAACCCAACACCUCACGGCACGAGCUGACGACAGCCAUGCAGCACCUGUUCACCGGCCCCCGAAGGGGAAACGACCUUUCAGCCGCUGUCCGGUGUAUGUCAAACCCAGGUAAGGUUCUUCGCGUUGCCUCGAAUUGAACCACAUACUCCACCGCUUGUGCGGGCCCCCGUCAAUUCUUUUGAGUUUCAACCUUGCGAUCGUACUCCCCAGGCGGGGCACUUAAUGCGUUAGCUGCGGCACUGAGGGGGUCGAUACCCUCAACACCUAGUGCCCAUAGUUUACAGCCAGGACUAC